This 700-nucleotide ribosomal RNA is filed under the name Streptomyces sp. RNAcentral's name for it is "bacterial SSU rRNA". It matches the Rfam family "Bacterial small subunit ribosomal RNA", at positions 57 to 775 of the family's 1533-position model. Lineage: Bacteria; Bacillati; Actinomycetota; Actinomycetes; Kitasatosporales; Streptomycetaceae. The record is from RNAcentral.
GCAGUCGAACGAUGAAGCCUUUCGGGGUGGAUUAGUGGCGAACGGGUGAGUAACACGUGGGCAAUCUGCCCUUCACUCUGGGACAAGCCCUGGAAACGGGGUCUAAUACCGGAUAACACUCUGUCCUGCAUGGGACGGGGUUAAAAGCUCCGGCGGUGAAGGAUGAGCCCGCGGCCUAUCAGCUUGUUGGUGGGGUAAUGGCCUACCAAGGCGACGACGGGUAGCCGGCCUGAGAGGGCGACCGGCCACACUGGGACUGAGACACGGCCCAGACUCCUACGGGAGGCAGCAGUGGGGAAUAUUGCACAAUGGGCGAAAGCCUGAUGCAGCGACGCCGCGUGAGGGAUGACGGCCUUCGGGUUGUAAACCUCUUUCAGCAGGGAAGAAGCGAAAGUGACGGUACCUGCAGAAGAAGCGCCGGCUAACUACGUGCCAGCAGCCGCGGUAAUACGUAGGGCGCAAGCGUUGUCCGGAAUUAUUGGGCGUAAAGAGCUCGUAGGCGGCUUGUCACGUCGGAUGUGAAAGCCCGGGGCUUAACCCCGGGUCUGCAUUCGAUACGGGCUAGCUAGAGUGUGGUAGGGGAGAUCGGAAUUCCUGGUGUAGCGGUGAAAUGCGCAGAUAUCAGGAGGAACACCGGUGGCGAAGGCGGAUCUCUGGGCCAUUACUGACGCUGAGGAGCGAAAGCGUGGGGAGCGAACAG